This 22-nucleotide non-coding RNA is filed under the name Mus musculus (house mouse). The record is from RNAcentral. Lineage: Eukaryota; Metazoa; Chordata; Mammalia; Rodentia; Muridae.
UGCAAAGACGUAGGAUGGGAGC